Long non-coding RNA from Mus musculus (house mouse), 2133 nucleotides. RefSeq annotates it as RIKEN cDNA 2700003A03 gene. NCBI's taxonomy places the organism in Eukaryota, Metazoa, Chordata, Mammalia, Rodentia, Muridae. The transcript has 4 exons. The record is from RefSeq and is a predicted model, not a curated record.
AUUAACGGUACAAAAAUCACACAUGAUUCUCUCAUCAUUCGUGUCCAUACUAAUCACAUGUGGAAAUACUACUUUGGAUAUGAAGGAUAAAGCACUCCUUCAGAGUCUACACUCUGCUACUUCUGUCUCCAGCCUCCUGCUGGUUCCUGUUCUGGGGCUAGUUAAUUCCCUGGCCUCCAGACAUUCACACUGUGCUGGGAGCAUGGUUUUAGGCGCUCCUCAUGGUCAGCGGGCAUUGGGGUCCUGCCAGGGAGACAGAGGAGCAGAGCCAGGCGUGAAUCUCCUGGAUCCUGGGAAGAGCUUAUGCUGAGGCAUGUGGAGGGAUGAAUGAGCUCUUGGGGACUGUCAUUACCAGCUCUCCGAGAAACUGGAUUGCCUGCAAUAAAAAUCUCCAACAUCCUGCUUCAGGGCUGGGGUCUCAUGGGGAGCUCUUGACACGGUGCCCAAACCACAGCCUUAAUCACCGAGGCACGUGGCUCACACUUGCAUGGAUGUGUGGACGUGGGCCUCUCUUCGGGCUGGAAACUCGGAGCAGCUUCGCUCUGGAGAAACGGAUCUCUCGCUCUCUUUCCUCCACCCACAUGUCAGCAAAGGCUUUACUUAAGCAAAUGCCACCUGCCCCAGCCCGGACACUUGUCUGCACCACAGAGGCCCGUGCUGAGUGCCAGCAACUCAGGCCUGUUUUCUCUGAGGGGGCCGGACCCUGGAAUGUUGACACCCCGUGGUUGUUGCUGUAAUGAUAAUGCUCUACAUUAAUAACACACCUCUCAGCCAGAUGGGUUCCUGAGUGCCCUACAGGCUGUGACAAGUAACCAUCCUGAGUUCCAACAAUUUACUGUGCCCACCAGGGCUCAUGGCUCCUGGAUGAGUCACAGGCUUUUGUCCACAUGCAGAAAUGAGGCUGGAUUGGCCAAGGGGAGAGCAAAGCAAAGGAACUGACCAAGGCCUGACUGGGAGGAUGUGAGGACCAUGGUCACUGUGCCAUCAAGGACCAGAGUAAUGAGCCAGAAGCAGUGGUAAGGAGUAGGGGACAGCACGUGACUCGGCACCUGCAUCUAUCUCAGCUGACAUCACUCUGUCAAUGAGCCUGUCCUCGGAAGCUGCAAGUAGCUAUAGCACAGUACCAGAAGUUUUUUUUGGCAUUUCUCUCUAUGGAGUUCCAACAGAUGGAGCUCAGCUGCGCAAUGUAAGGCCCUUGUUGACAGCUUUCACUGUUCAGACGGUGAUCACAGGCGGAUUGCUUGUGGGCCUCCGUUCCUGAUUCCUGAGGUGAGCUGGCAAUCUUCAGAAAUACCGAGGCGUGUGUAAACAAGGUUAUUGGUGACUGCAGGGUGAGACCGCCUACAACGCCCCCAAACACGCCUCAGUGCAGAAUGUACUUGCAGAAAUUUGGCUGGCAGUUCAGAUCAUUCAGACACCAUCCUUGAAGCUUCAUUACCAGGGUAGAUGUGCAUCAAAGACCCCGACUGAGGACACAUCAGUGGACUCACCCAGUGGGAAUUAUCUCCUCCCCAAAGCUUCCAGUCCAGGGCUGGCUGCUCCGAGCUGGGCCAAUCAAUUUAUCUCCUGAUGCAUGUCAUUAUCCUUUUGCAUGUCUGUGCCAGAAAGUUUUGUAAAUGUGAACCUGGCGAAGCGGAAUCCUUUGCAAAGGAGAGUUGCAGGGAGCAACAAGGUCAAUGUCAGGGAGGCAGAGGGUCGGUGACCACAUGCUAAGAAGGGGUGGGGAGAGGUCCUCAGCUUUGCUGAAUGCUCUGCCAGGGAGUAGCCCUUUGCCAUUGAGACUCCCUGUUGAGACUUCUGGGAUUCUGUUACAGGCAACUGAGUGAUUUAACAACCAGGACAAAUAUACUGUGCUUGGAACGGAAAAAACCCCGACUUCUACAUUUGGAUUCUCAGAGCCGUGCUAACCAGAUGUAAAAUGCAGGGAGAGGCACCAUGGUGAUUGAGUUUUCAUCUUUGAAACACAACAGCAUGCCAAUCUUCUAUGAAGUCACUGUGAGGACCUUUGUUAACAGGACACAAGAUGACUACUCCUAUGCUGAUCCUGGGAGCCUACUUAUGUGAACUGACUGCGGCUAUUUCAAGGAAGAACAGGGCUCUCCCUCCCUCCCUCCCUCCCUCCCUCCCUCCCUC